This 301-nucleotide ribosomal RNA is filed under the name uncultured bacterium. RNAcentral's name for it is "partial 16S ribosomal RNA". It matches the Rfam family "Bacterial small subunit ribosomal RNA", at positions 509 to 807 of the family's 1533-position model. The record is from RNAcentral.
CAGCCGCCGCGGUAAUACAGAGGGUGCGAGCGUUAAUCGGAUUUACUGGGCGUAAAGCGUGCGUAGGCGGCUUCUUAAGUCGGAUGUGAAAUCCCUGAGCUUAACUUAGGAAUUGCAUUCGAUACUGGGAAGCUAGAGUAUGGGAGAGGUUGGUAGAAUUCCAGGUGUAGCGGUGAAAUGCGUAGAGAUCUGGAGGAAUACCGAUGGCGAAGGCAGCCAUCUGGCCUAAUACUGACGCUGAGGUACGAAAGCAUGGGGAGCAAACAGGAUUAGAUACCCGUGUAGUCCCUGUCUCUUAUAC